UACGUAGGGGGCUAGCGUUGUCCGGAUUUACUGGGCGUAAAGGGCGCGUAGGCGGCCACCGCAAGUCGACUGUGAAAUCUCCGGGCUUAACCCGGAAAGGUCAGCCGAUACUGCGGGGCUAGAGUGCAGAAGGGGCAACUGGAAUUCUCGGUGUAGCGGUGAAAUGCGUAGAUAUCGAGAGGAACACCUGCGGCGAAGGCGGGUUGCUGGGCUGAUACUGACGCUGAGGCGCGAAAGCCAGGGGGAGCGAACGGGG
Molecule: ribosomal RNA, 256 nt
Filed under: uncultured bacterium
Lineage: Bacteria
Description: partial 16S ribosomal RNA
Rfam family: Bacterial small subunit ribosomal RNA
Source: RNAcentral